UAGCUCAAAAGUAUACUUCUAAAAAAUUUAUUUUUUGGUAACUACGACCGACUAAUUAUAAAUUAUAAUACAUAAAUGGUGCUCUCCAGGAGGCACCUCCUUUUGGUGCUGAAGUUCUAAGUUUGAUCAUGGAGUAUGACCACUCUAUCUCAAAUAAAUAAAUAAAUCGAUAUAAUAUUAAUUUUUGGGGUCGAAAAUAUGAUUUA
RNAcentral lists this long non-coding RNA (206 nucleotides) under Elaeis guineensis (African oil palm). Its description in RNAcentral is "long non-coding RNA (EGUI_LNC024814)". The record is from RNAcentral. Lineage: Eukaryota; Viridiplantae; Streptophyta; Magnoliopsida; Arecales; Arecaceae.